Molecule: ribosomal RNA, 460 nt
Filed under: uncultured bacterium
Lineage: Bacteria
Description: partial 16S ribosomal RNA
Rfam family: Bacterial small subunit ribosomal RNA
Source: RNAcentral
CCUACGGGAGGCAACAGUGAGGAAUAUUGGUCAAUGGACGAGAGUCUGAACCAGCCAAGUAGCGUGAAGGAUGACUGCCCUAUGGGUUGUAAACUUCUUUUAUAUGGGAAUAAAACGUUCCACGUGUGGGAUUUUGUAUGUACCAUAUGAAUAAGGAUCGGCUAACUCCGUGCCAGCAGCCGCGGUAAUACGGAGGAUCCGAGCGUUAUCCGGAUUUAUUGGGUUUAAAGGGAGCGUAGGUGGAUUGUUAAGUCAGUUGUGAAAGUUUGCGGCUCAACCGUAAAAUUGCAGUUGAAACUGGCAGUCUUGAGUACAGUAGAGGUGGGCGGAAUUCGUGGUGUAGCGGUGAAAUGCUUAGAUAUCACGAAGAACUCCGAUUGCGAAGGCAGUUCACUGGACUGCAACUGACACUGAGGCUCGAAAGUGUGGGUAUCAAACAGGAUUAGAUACCCCGGUAGUC